CUAGGAACUAUGCAAUCUUUAGUCAGCCUUUUUUUGUAGCUACACCAUGAUCUAGAGCUUGCUCAGUUGCUGUGUAAACUCAUGAGUGGGUUGGCAUUGUAGUAGGAAGUCUUUUUUUGAGGUCAAAACAUUACAGUGUACUCUAGAAUAGCCCCUGGCUAAAGCCAUUUCAAAUGAGAGUAUGAAUGAGAUUUACAGCAAAAGUCUUUUCUUUAUACACCAAUGAAGGGUGAGAGCCUCAUUCUGCCUGCCUGUGUGAGCUUGGCUGUUGAUCUGCAUAGCAGCAGGAUCUGGGGUUCCUUGCAAGGUCACUGAUGUGAAACAGAGUGAAACUUCCAGUGAUGUAGUACAUUGGUGUGUCUGGAUUCUUCCAGGAAUAUGCAUGUUUUCUGGGUAUUAUUCUACAGGUAAGAAAUCAGGGCAUUACACCUGCCUUCUUUGUUCACCCAUUUCCCAGUGUAUUACCAUAUAACACAGCACAGGCCAAAGUAACCCAGGCUGAUCAGGAGCCAGUGGCCAACCUCUGCUAUGGGUAUGGACUUUCAGAGGAGCUCCCCAGUCCCUGCUAGCAGCAGUGAUGUGUGUGAAAGCAGAGAUUGCUGCCAGUUCUGGGCAGGUUGACAGCUACAUCGGUGACAAACAGAAAUCUCAGAGUGCCACUUCAGGUACAAACCUUGCUUAGGGAACAAUUCUCAGCAUACUGAGCUCACAAACCAUUCAAGAUUGAGACAGUAGAAAUAACUUGUACACCUCCAGCUCCCAUUGCCAAGAAGGAUUCCAGCUUUCUGAGGAACUCUCAGAACUGAUCCAGAUCCAGAUCUGGGCAAGCAGAGAAGGUGAAUGGUGUUGGCAGCCAGGCAGAGAGCCAGCGAGCUGUUCUCUUGCAGGCUUGCACGGCUGCACAGAGCAGAACGUCUCCCUCUACCACUUAGUAAAUUCAUGACAUCACCAGCUGUUACCAGGGAAACACAGAAAUUACCGAUUUGGAUCUUGGCAGCUAGGUGUGUAGAGGAAAUAUCUUGCUCUUUUGUGGGUCAAAAAGGAAAGCUGAAACAAAUUCCAGGACAGCUUUGAAUUGGAACGAAGUAGGGGAGACAAAUGGAAAGAAUUUUCCACACCAAAACCUGAGUCAUUCAUCCUACACAUGUAUUUAUUGAAUUGAACUGGUUGGAGCCCUGUCCCCUGAAAGAAUGCAGCUGUGAAGAGCCAUAAAAUAGAUCAUUGCAUCUGGUAACUGCAUUAAUGUGAGCUGGUAACAGAAACGGAUGCAGAGUGAUUCUUUCUAGUCCUGCAUUGCACUGUGAUGGGAAGGAUGAUAAAGAAAAUUUCUGCUGUGCUGAUUGUCAUUAUGAUAGAUGAAAGCCCCUCUAAAGAAGAUAAUUUCUUGUCUCUUUCUUGACCUUCACACACAUGUUGAGUCUUAGCUGCUGACUAAAGGUGGCAAUAAAGAUAAUCAAAUGUUUAAAGGCCCUAAUUAAAAUCUAAUAGCAACAUGAAGGGAAGCUGAGGUCUGUUCUUUUUGUACUAGCUCAUCACUAAUGGAAUUGGUACCACAUUUUUCCUGUUAAACAGCUAAUUCUGCAGUAGGGCUGAAAAAAGGAUCUGGGUUGACUUUCACGCUCCAGUGGACUUACCAUUACAAAGAAAACCUUCCUACUAUCUUCAUUAGGAAGAGAGGGACAUGGUGUGAGAGACAACUCAUCUUCAGCUCCGUGUUGAGGGAUUUGGCGGCCUGCAGCUAGAGAUACAUUCGGAAAUGGGAUGCACUGUCUGAGACCUGGCACUGGCCAGUUUUGAUUUACUACACUCCCCAAAAGAGACUUUGCCAAAAAAGGAGAAAAAUUCAUCACCUAUUAGAGCGUAUCUUGGCUGUACUAUGCAAGCAAUUUAGUAGCCUCUGUAUAUGAGUACUGGCAGUCUUUGAGACAAAAGAAGUAGGGUUGCUUUGUGUGCACUGAAGAAGUUUUGCUUUUGACCUCACUGGAGCCAUGAUUCUUCACCAGAUCCAUAACCUGAAGGUCUAAAGUGCCCAUAAAAGGGCUACUGCAAAUCUGUAAAGUCAUAAUCAUCACAGUCCUCAGUUGACCUGACAACCAACACCACUCCUGCUUAGGAUCUAGCCUUGCAAACCUGUAACCCUCUGUGUGUGCCACAGUCAGUACUCACUCGUGAGACUGCUUUGUCCCCACCUUUUAUUUUACUGGAACUUUUUUGACGAUAAAGACCAUCUUUUUUAGGAAAAAAUAAAGAAGUGUUUGAAGGCAAAUUAUCCUCCUGGGAACUUGGUGCUCCAGUGUUUGGGCUUUAAACAUUCUGGGACAUGCUGAUUUUGUUUAAUAGCUACAGCCCUUGCUGGAAUGUUUUUAAAUUGUGUAAACAUUCCUACUAGUUUUAUGGGUUUAUAAACUGGGUUUUUUUUUAUGUGGGUACAAAUUCAAGUUGACAGUGUACUUUCCAAGCUUCCAUUAAAUAGGGACAACUUGCUAUUGAUAGAGGAACAUCUCUGAAAUAACUUUAUGAUGUCUUGCAAUGGAAGACUUUUCAUUAACUUUGGUUAGAAAAACAACCUGCCAUGUGUUUGUACGGCUUUUACCAGUUCUUACUGUGCCCUAAUGUCUGUGAGACUCCUGCUGGUGGGAAGUGAAAAAGUCCAAGGAUAAUUGAAAGGAGAAAGGAAUGUAUUUUAAUUGUACACUGUGUUUGCCAGUGACUGUUAUCAUGCAGCCAUCAAAGUGCUUUGAAACUUCGCACUUAAAGGUAGCAGUAUGAUGGUGCAUUCCUUACAUACACUGUUUUACCUCUCUUCAAGUGUGUCAGCGCUGCUUUAAAAGAUCACUAUAGAAAACCUCUGCAACUACACCGUCUGGUUUCAGCUUACCUUAAUUUAGUGUCAGCCAAGCUCCUAUAGUCCACAUGAUUAAAAGGGACAGAGGUAUACCUGCCACAUUUUGGGGAUUUAAGCCUACAUUUUCCCCCUGUAAAUUUUGACCUUAUCAAAAUAAACUUCUCCAACUUCCCCUGAAACUGGAAGAUAAAGCAAAUAUUUGCUACUAUUAUUGGAAAUUAGUGGAUGUUUGUGACUGUUGUUAAACCUCCUGACUGGAGUAGUUUCCUGUUGAGGAACGUUGUGCUUGUGUUACUCCCCAUGGUGGGGUUCUCUAGCUUGCCCCAUGCUGAGCCUGCUUCUUGAAGGCUCUAAAGAGGGAGCAGGGACAGCUUCCAUCCCUUCUGCUGAGUAGCUCCAUGAGGAAAGAGAAUGUACUGUCCAUAAAGAAUCGUGUAACCAUUGUCUGAUGGUGUGCUUGACUCUGGGACUGAAGGGAGUUGGGGUGGGUACUGGUGUGUGCCAUGUAUACUUGUUUCCUCUGUUCCCAGAAGUGACUCAGCCUUGGGAACAGCUCCUUAGUGAGCUGGUUGGGAGGCUUGAUGAGCUGCUGAAUUCCUCCUUGUCUAGUUUCCCCUAUCCAGCUUGCCUCAGAUUGUCACUGAGCUUUAUUGUUUCUACACACACACACCACGUUUAAAACCAUACAGAUGACACUUCUCACACUGCAAAUGCAGUUACACACUGCUCAUGCUUUGCAGCUGGUUGAGCACCAAUGAAACAAAUUAACUCGGUAACUGAGCUGGGAAAGUGCACGGAAAUACAGUUUCUAAUGCUUUCUUACAGAUAUUCCCAUUGGACCAUGCGAAGAACUCUUCCCAUCUACACUGUGAAAGAAACACCAGAAUAUAACUUUUCUUUUUUUUUUUUUUUUUUAAAAAAGCCUUUUAAAAUUAAAACCUUUGAGAACUUAAAUUAAAUGCACUGUGAGAAAAACGUGCCCUUCGCUUAUGACUAUUGACUUGAGGUUUAUACGUUAUUGCCAAGUCCUGGAAUGAAUAAAGCUUUAAUGUUGAAAUCAGGAACAA
Neopsephotus bourkii (Bourke's parrot) is the source of this 3912-nucleotide long non-coding RNA. RefSeq lists it as uncharacterized. The record is from RefSeq and is a predicted model, not a curated record. The transcript has 3 exons. NCBI's taxonomy places the organism in Eukaryota, Metazoa, Chordata, Aves, Psittaciformes, Psittacidae.